GUGGGAUGCCAGCCCCAAGUCCUGCUGGGAAAAGCCUGAGCUCCACCUUCCCCGCCGCGAGCGGAGACGAACAGAAAGGUCAACAGCAAAGCCUCAGUGGGCGAGAGAGAGUGGCGGGGUUAAUCGGCGCGAGCUCGGCAAUCCUGUUACCAUGACGUCUGCUGACAAGUUCGGAGAGAUGCUCAGAUUUCCAGGGUUGGGCCUGUGCACUUCUCGUAGGCCUGGCGCCGCAGGCCAGCUUACGCAACGCCGCCUUCCAGAGAACCUCUGAAGUGUUUACGGUGUCCGCUGACGUGCUGGAGGGCCGUGAGCGGGGGCCUGCUGGGCCCGAAAGCGCUGGGACACCGUCACCGUGCUCUGCUGGAUCAUUCCGGGCUCCUGCAGCCACAGUCAUUAUACAGAUAUUAUUAAGGUUCUCUUCUUUGUCCAAAGUGAGGAGAACAUGGGGUCCAAGCGCAGGAUCUGGGGUUAAGAGUCUUACUCAAGGGCCCAAUGGUGAUGCGAUCACUCUGCUGGUCACUGGAUUUAAACCCACAACCUUCCGGACAUUGGCGCCGACCUCUAGCCCACUGACAUACACGCCACCUGUUCUCUUUUAUUUCAGGUCAGAGCCACAGAAAACAUCAGUCUGUAUGUGGCCUGGCUCUCUCCUCCAUUCCACUCCAGUUAAUGGUGGAAUUUAGGAGAGAUACUGACAGGAUUGCAGCCCACACACUCCGCUCCAUACCUGCUCACCCCUCGGCCCGUGGGAUAUUUAUACUCCUCAGGAGUGGCUUCCACAGACACAGACAAGCAACACAAGGAGCAACCAGAAGAGAAAUAAUGCAUGAGUGUAUAUUUUUCUGUGUCUGUGUAGCAGACACUUUUACCCAAAGCAAUGUAUAUUUUUGAAGAAGCAGGAUCAACUGGGGUUAGAGAGCCUCACUCACAGGCCCAAUGCUGACAUCACUUUGCCAACUCCGGGAUUUGAACCAACAACCACCCGACCACAGACACAGCAUCUUGUAUGGCAUUUGUGCGAUUCUCUAGUUAGGACUUUGAAUUCGCCCCCUGUCCCAAGGAUCAUCUGCCCGCCCCAUACGUGUGUCUGAAGGGGAUUGCAUAUUAGCCCUGGAAAUCUCCACAGUAACAGACGGGACAAGUGGACAGCAUCUAAGAGCUCUGUGCUGGCAGUACAUCAAGCAACAAGAAAACAGCGAGUCAGCACAGGUAAGCAAUGGGAGAGACUCCCUUCCAGACCCUUCCCAGCUGAUCCCAUUUUACCAUAACAGGCACAGUUCCACGGCAGUGUGACAUCACCCACAUUCAAGCACAUUCUAUUGUUUUCCAAAAAAAAAAAACAAACGUUCUAUUGGUUUCCCUCCUCCUGGGUCAUGAUACAUGAACCCAUGCAUGUUUUUUAAACAUUCCUUUGUGAAAAAAAUCUGAAAUACCACUGAUCAGAAGUAGAAAGAGGUUAUUGGAUCGCUGGGAAUUUUUGUCAAGAAACUCUGCCCCACUAUCAGCCGGACCCUGUCGAUCGUGGCUUUUACAUUUUAUUUAUUUAGCAUGUUUACAUUUCAGUGAUAUAUAUAGUUUGAGAAAGCAGGGUAUCUGGAGUGAUUUGGGAUUGAGCCCUUUGCUCAAGGGCCCAGCAGUGAAAUCAUUCUGCUGACCCUGGGAUCUGAACCAACAACCACCCUUUUUUUUGUCAGUCAGUGUUAGCUAUGUUCAGGUAGGUAGUUUAUCUGGGUAGUGCUGCCAUGUGGUAGUUUUUUGGGCUUGGUGCAGCAAUGUGCUGAGACAGCUUCUUGCAGGCUGACGCCAAUGACCAGUGUGUCCUGGUACCGUGAGUCACUCUUGUGCCUCCCCACCAAGCAACUUUGAAUGCGUGACAGGAGUGAAUUUCAGUCCUGAGGGCAGUCAGUCUGCCUCCUCUCCUGGCCUGUGCGUCUCGGAGCACAGAUGGUAGCCACCUACAGCUAUAAGUUAUUUGACUGCCCAAAGUAAUCGGCAGCACAGAAAUGCUAAUGAGUUAGAUAUUAAAUUUCACCUCACACUCUAGUAUUAUAUGGGGGCUGGUGUAUGAUUCAGCAGGCUGCAGCUCUAUGCCCAUGUGCAGAAGAUUAUUUAAAGGUUACUGAAAAUGAAUAGAUGAAUGUAUAUUUGUACAGAUUAUCACAUAUGAUGAGUAAAUGUAUGUACAACUCUGUUUCCAAGAAAGUUGGGACGAUGUGUAAAAUGUGAAUAAAGACAGAAUGCAAUGAUUUGCAAAUCAUAUAAACCCAUAUUUAAUUGAAAAUAAGGCAAGAUAUGCAAUGUUGAGACCAGAGUGUCGCUUCACAUCUUCUUUU
This is a long non-coding RNA of Brienomyrus brachyistius, 2333 nucleotides long. RefSeq lists it as uncharacterized. The transcript is spliced from 3 exons. The record is from RefSeq and is a predicted model, not a curated record. NCBI's taxonomy places the organism in Eukaryota, Metazoa, Chordata, Actinopteri, Osteoglossiformes, Mormyridae.